This 63-nucleotide transfer RNA is filed under the name Thulinius sp. DVL-2010. Its description in RNAcentral is "tRNA-Gly". The record is from RNAcentral. Lineage: Eukaryota; Metazoa; Tardigrada; Eutardigrada; Parachela; Doryphoribiidae.
UUGUUAUUAGUAUAAAAAGUAUUUUUAAUUUCCAAUUAAAAGGUUUCAAAUCAAAAUAACAAA